CUCUGAUUGCAGGUCCAGGGAAAAAUGAGGAGUGAAACCCUCCCUGUCCUGCCCAGUGGAAACAACUGCCCCAGAUGCCACAGCAGGGAGCAGCUGGGGGAAGAGGAAUUGAAAAUCCAAGCAGGCAGAACCCACUGGAAAUCUGUGGGAUUUUUAUCAGGCUGAAUUCUGCAAGUUCCCAGGAAAACUGAGUGAAGUACUAUCUGUUGAAUUAAAAAAACAUUUGCUGUAUGGAAAAACAGUCUUGCCUUGUGAAAGAACAGACGUCUGGAAUUGGAGGAGAGAAAUGAUCCUCAUUCUUUCCCUGCUCCACACUGCACCUGGACCACUUGAUGUUCCUACCAGGGCUUGGGGCAGCAGAAUCUUGGUGGCCACAGUUGGGAACUCGGUGAAUUGGAGCAAAGCUGAAGGGUUUGUCCACUAAGAGAAGCGGUGAAUUAUAAACCAACGCAGAGUGAUAUUCCACACCAGGGAUUUGGAUUGGUGAUGGUCCCAAUCCAUCAUCUUUCUGUUCAUUUUCUUUUGGAUGCUGCAGCCUGCUGGGCUGGGGGAGCUGUUCCUUUGCAUUUAAUUUUCUGUAUUCUGUAAAUUCUCUGUGGAAAUCUGCUUUUAAUAAAAAGGCUCUUGAUGAUGUCCCAGAUUCCUGGGAUUCACAGGUGUGUGUUCAGACCAAGGAAUGUUCUGGCUGGCAGAAGCUGCACCAAUCUCCCAGGAAUCUCAGUCUGGGUUUGUCUUUGCUCCCAGUUCUCCUCAGUUUGGGGUGCAGUGCAGCCCUGCCCUGUGGAUCUCCCAGAAGAGUUUUGGGGUUAAAAAGGUUCUUUCCUAUUCUGCAGUUUUUCUCUAGAAUUCAAUAAAAAAGAAUAAAACUGUA
Molecule: long non-coding RNA, 871 nt
Organism: Melospiza georgiana
Lineage: Eukaryota; Metazoa; Chordata; Aves; Passeriformes; Passerellidae
Exons: 3
Source: RefSeq, a predicted model, not a curated record